AGCAGCCGCGGUAAUUCCAGCUCCAAUGAGCGUAUAUUAAAGCUUGUUGCAGUUAAAAAGCUCGUAGUUGAAUUUCGGGGUUAGUAGGUUGGUCAUGCCUCUGGUAUGUACUGGUCUCACUGAUUCCUCCUUCCUGAUGAGCCGUAAUGCCAUUAAUUUGGUGUUGCGGGGAAUUUGGACUGUUACUUUGAAAAAAUUAGAGUGUUUAAAGCAAGCUAACGCUUGAAUACAUUAGCAUGGAAUAAUGAAAUAGGACGUUCGAUCCUAUUUUGUUGGUUUCUAGGAUUGACGUAAUGAUUAAUAGGGAUAGUUGGGGGCAUUAGUAUUCAAUUGUCAGAGGUGAAAUUCUUGGAUUUAUUGAAGACUAACUACUGCGAAAGCAUUUGCCAAGGAUGUUUUCAUUAAUCAAGAACGAAAGUUAGGGGAUCGAAGACGAUCAGAUACCGUCGUAGUCUUAACCAUAAACUAUGCCGACUAGGGAUCGGAUGAUGUUAAUUUUUUAAUGACUCA
This 510-nucleotide ribosomal RNA is filed under the name Glomus sp. Glo8. RNAcentral describes it as "SSU rRNA". It matches the Rfam family "Eukaryotic small subunit ribosomal RNA", at positions 569 to 1078 of the family's 1831-position model. Lineage: Eukaryota; Fungi; Glomeromycota; Glomeromycetes; Glomerales; Glomeraceae. The record is from RNAcentral.